This 1439-nucleotide ribosomal RNA is filed under the name uncultured organism. RNAcentral's name for it is "SSU rRNA". It matches the Rfam family "Bacterial small subunit ribosomal RNA". The record is from RNAcentral.
UCAUGAUGAACGCUAGCUACAGGCUUAACACAUGCAAGUCGAGGGGCAGCAUGGUCUUAGCUUGCUAAGGCCGAUGGCGACCGGCGCACGGGUGAGUAACACGUAUCCAACCUGCCGUCUACUCUUGGACAGCCUUCUGAAAGGAAGAUUAAUACAAGAUGGCAUCAUGAGUCCGCAUGUUCACAUGAUUAAAGGUAUUCCGGUAGACGAUGGGGAUGCGUUCCAUUAGAUAGUAGGCGGGGUAACGGCCCACCUAGUCUUCGAUGGAUGGGGGUUCUGAGAGGAAGGUCCCCCACAUUGGAACUGAGACACGGUCCAAACUCCUACGGGAGGCAGCAGUGAGGAAUAUUGGUCAAUGGGCGAGAGCCUGAACCAGCCAAGUAGCGUGAAGGAUGACUGCCCUAUGGGUUGUAAACUUCUUUUAUAAAGGAAUAAAGUCGGGUAUGGAUACCCGUUUGCAUGUACUUUAUGAAUAAGGAUCGGCUAACUCCGUGCCAGCAGCCGCGGUAAUACGGAGGAUCCGAGCGUUAUCCGGAUUUAUUGGGUUUAAAGGGAGCGUAGAUGGAUAUUUAAGUCAGUUGUGAAAGUUUGCGGCUCAACCGUAAAAUUGCAGUUGAUACUGGAUAUCUUGAGUGCAGUUGAGGCAGGCGGAAUUCGUGGUGUAGCGGUGAAAUGCUUAGAUAUCACGAAGAACUCCGAUUGCGAAGGCAGCCUGCUAAGCUGCAACUGACAUUGAGGCUCGAAAGUGUGGGUAUCAAACAGGAUUAGAUACCCUGGUAGUCCACACGGUAAACGAUGAAUACUCGCUGUUUGCGAUAUACUGCAAGCGGCCAAGCGAAAGCGUUAAGUAUUCCACCUGGGGAGUACGCCGGCAACGGUGAAACUCAAAGGAAUUGACGGGGGCCCGCACAAGCGGAGGAACAUGUGGUUUAAUUCGAUGAUACGCGAGGAACCUUACCCGGGCUUAAAUUGCAGAUGAAUUACGGUGAAAGCCGUAAGCCGCAAGGCAUCUGUGAAGGUGCUGCAUGGUUGUCGUCAGCUCGUGCCGUGAGGUGUCGGCUUAAGUGCCAUAACGAGCGCAACCCUUGUUGUCAGUUACUAACAGGUUCCGCUGAGGACUCUGACAAGACUGCCAUCGUAAGAUGUGAGGAAGGUGGGGAUGACGUCAAAUCAGCACGGCCCUUACGUCCGGGGCUACACACGUGUUACAAUGGGGGGUACAGAGGGCCGCUACCACGCGAGUGGAUGCCAAUCCCCAAAACCUCUCUCAGUUCGGACUGGAGUCUGCAACCCGACUCCACGAAGCUGGAUUCGCUAGUAAUCGCGCAUCAGCCACGGCGCGGUGAAUACGUUCCCGGGCCUUGUACACACCGCCCGUCAAGCCAUGGGAGCCGGGGGUACCUGAAGUGCGUAACCGCGAGGAGCGCCCUAGGGUAAAA